Ailuropoda melanoleuca (giant panda) is the source of this 374-nucleotide long non-coding RNA. RefSeq lists it as uncharacterized. The record is from RefSeq and is a predicted model, not a curated record. The transcript has 3 exons. Lineage: Eukaryota; Metazoa; Chordata; Mammalia; Carnivora; Ursidae.
CCCUAGAGACCACCACCACGGCCACGGAUAGGACGAGCCACCACGUCUCGCUGUGGGCAGGCCGGCCGUCGGGGAGCGCAGUGGAGCUCCGUGUUCGGAGCGGGUCGAUCAAGACUUGGAAGUUUGGCUCGAGGGUUUUACCUACGAACCUCGCUUGGAGUGCCUCGCACAGGGGCGGCGUGCGGGGGCCGCAGGCGAGGACGCCCUCCCCAGCUCUGCCCUGCCGGCCAACCACGGCGCAUCACCGUUCGCGUCUCUGGCUUCUCCCCAAGCCGUCCAGGCACCUUGGCGGACCCCAAUGAACACACCAAAUGGGAGGCGUGCUCAUCUGUAAUGUCUCCAAGGCCAUGCGUGUACAACCCUCAGCAGCCCUG